RNAcentral lists this ribosomal RNA (605 nucleotides) under Priestia aryabhattai. Its description in RNAcentral is "bacterial SSU rRNA". It matches the Rfam family "Bacterial small subunit ribosomal RNA", at positions 17 to 603 of the family's 1533-position model. Lineage: Bacteria; Bacillati; Bacillota; Bacilli; Caryophanales; Bacillaceae. The record is from RNAcentral.
UCCUGGCUCAGGAUGAACGCUGGCGGCGUGCCUAAUACAUGCAAGUCGAGCGAACUGAUUAGAAGCUUGCUUCUAUGACGUUAGCGGCGGACGGGUGAGUAACACGUGGGCAACCUGCCUGUAAGACUGGGAUAACUUCGGGAAACCGAAGCUAAUACCGGAUAGGAUCUUCUCCUUCAUGGGAGAUGAUUGAAAGAUGGUUUCGGCUAUCACUUACAGAUGGGCCCGCGGUGCAUUAGCUAGUUGGUGAGGUAACGGCUCACCAAGGCAACGAUGCAUAGCCGACCUGAGAGGGUGAUCGGCCACACUGGGACUGAGACACGGCCCAGACUCCUACGGGAGGCAGCAGUAGGGAAUCUUCCGCAAUGGACGAAAGUCUGACGGAGCAACGCCGCGUGAGUGAUGAAGGCUUUCGGGUCGUAAAACUCUGUUGUUAGGGAAGAACAAGUACGAGAGUAACUGCUCGUACCUUGACGGUACCUAACCAGAAAGCCACGGCUAACUACGUGCCAGCAGCCGCGGUAAUACGUAGGUGGCAAGCGUUAUCCGGAAUUAUUGGGCGUAAAGCGCGCGCAGGCGGUUUCUUAAGUCUGAUGUGAAAGCCC